RNAcentral lists this long non-coding RNA (328 nucleotides) under Olea europaea (common olive). RNAcentral describes it as "long non-coding RNA (OEUR_LNC001885)". Lineage: Eukaryota; Viridiplantae; Streptophyta; Magnoliopsida; Lamiales; Oleaceae. The record is from RNAcentral.
GAGGGAUUCAAGAAGGACAUGGUAUUCAAGGCGAACCCGUUAGCCCUAAGCGUACCUGAACAGGCCUUCGAGUCCUGGCUCCGAGACUCCGGCUACCUCGAAAUCCUCGACCAGCGCACCUCCGACCUCCACCGCCUCUCUGCCGCCGACUGUACUAUCGAGCUCCGUAAUUCCUCCGCCGACUCCACCCCCACUUCCAUUAUAUGUAGCGGCUUCUUCGUAUCACUCUUCUCCCGUAUUUGUACCCUUCUCUCGCUCAUCACUUUCAACCCCUUCUCCAAGCUCGUCGCAGAGGAUUUCUCCGGUGACACGCCUUCUUGGACCCUCG